This 447-nucleotide ribosomal RNA is filed under the name uncultured bacterium. RNAcentral's name for it is "bacterial SSU rRNA". It matches the Rfam family "Bacterial small subunit ribosomal RNA", at positions 330 to 794 of the family's 1533-position model. The record is from RNAcentral.
CCCAGACUCCUACGGGAGGCAGCAGUGGGGAAUAUUGCACAAUGGGGGAAACCCUGAUGCAGCGACGCCGCGUGAGCGAUGAAGUAUUUCGGUAUGUAAAGCUCUAUCAGCAGGGAAGAAAAUGACGGUACCUGACUAAGAAGCCCCGGCUAACUACGUGCCAGCAGCCGCGGUAAUACGUAGGGGGCAAGCGUUAUCCGGAUUUACUGGGUGUAAAGGGAGCGUAGACGGCAAUGCAAGCCAGAUGUGAAAGCCCGGGGCCCAACCCCGGGACUGCUCUGGAAACUGCGUCGCUGGAGUACGGGAGGGGCAGGCGGAAUUCCUAGUGUAGCGGUGAAAUGCGUAGAUAUUAGGAGGAACACCAGUGGCGAAGGCGGCCUGCUGGACGACAACUGACGGUGAGGCGCGAAAGCGUGGGGAGCAAACAGGAUUAGAUACCCGCGUAUA